GUCGCCUCCUAAAAGGUAACGGAGGCGCUCAAAGGUUCCCUCAGAAUGGUUGGAAAUCAUUCAUAGAGUGUAAAGGCAUAAGGGAGCUUGACUGCGAGACCUACAAGUCGAGCAGGGUCGAAAGACGGACUUAGUGAUCCGGUGGUUCCGCAUGGAAGGGCCAUCGCUCAACGGAUAAAAGCUACCCCGGGGAUAACAGGCUUAUCUCCCCCAAGAGUUCACAUCGACGGGGAGGUUUGGCACCUCGAUGUCGGCUCAUCGCAUCCUGGGGCUGUAGUCGGUCCCAAGGGUUGGGCUGUUCGCCCAUUAAAGCGGUACGCGAGCUGGGUUCAGAACGUCGUGAGACAGUUCGGUCCCUAUCCGUCGUGGGCGUAGGAAAUUUGAGAGGAGCUGUCCUUAGUACGAGAGGACCGGGAUGGACAUACCUCUGGUGUACCAGUUGUCGUGCCAACGGCAUAGCUGGGUAGCUAUGUGUGGACGGGAUAAGUGCUGAAAGCAUCUAAGCAUGAAGCCCCCCUCAAGAUGAGAUUUCCCAACUUCGGUUAUAAGAUCCCUCAAAGAUGAUGAGG
This 569-nucleotide ribosomal RNA is filed under the name Staphylococcus aureus. RNAcentral's name for it is "partial 23S ribosomal RNA". It matches the Rfam family "Bacterial large subunit ribosomal RNA", at positions 2282 to 2852 of the family's 2925-position model. Lineage: Bacteria; Bacillati; Bacillota; Bacilli; Caryophanales; Staphylococcaceae. The record is from RNAcentral.